UGUAGAUUAUAAAUCAGAUGUUAGGAGAACAGAGCCGAAAGAUACCCACCUGUAGAUUAUAAAUCAGAUGUUAGGAGAACAGAGCCAGCCCACCUGUAGAUUAUAAAUCAGAUGUUAGGAGAAUAGAGCCUGUAGAUUAUAAAUCAGAUGUUAGGAGAAGAGAGACUAGAUUAUAAAUCAGAUGUUAGGAAAAUAGAGACUGUAGAUUAUAAAUCAGAUGUUAGGAGAAGAGAGACUGUAGAUUAUAAAUCAGAUAUUAGGAGAAUAGAGCCUGUAGAUUAUAAAUCAGAUAUUAGGAAUAGGGCUCUGGUCUAAAGUAGUACCACUAUAUAGGGAAUAGGGCUCUGGUCUAUAGUAGUACCACUAUAUAGGGAAUAGGGCUCUGGUCUAUAGUAGUACCACUAUAUAGGGAAUAGGGCUCUGGUCUAAAGUAGUACCACUAUAUAGGGAAUAGGGCUCUGUUCUAUAGUAGUACCACUAUAUAGGGAAUAGGGC
RNAcentral lists this long non-coding RNA (495 nucleotides) under Salmo salar (Atlantic salmon). RNAcentral's name for it is "lncRNA (ENSSSAG00000101328.1)". The record is from RNAcentral. Lineage: Eukaryota; Metazoa; Chordata; Actinopteri; Salmoniformes; Salmonidae.